Molecule: ribosomal RNA, 463 nt
Filed under: uncultured bacterium
Lineage: Bacteria
Description: bacterial SSU rRNA
Rfam family: Bacterial small subunit ribosomal RNA
Source: RNAcentral
GGGCCCGCACAAGCGGUGGAGCAUGUGGUUUAAUUCGACGCAACGCGCAGAACCUUACCAGGCCUUGACAUCCUGUGCUCGCCGGAGAGAUCCGGUUUCCCCGCAAGGGGCGCAGAGACAGGUGCUGCAUGGCUGUCGUCAGCUCGUGUCGUGAGAUGUUGGGUUAAGUCCCGCAACGAGCGCAACCCUCGCCUUUAGUUGCCAUCAUUCAGUUGGGCACUCUAAAGGGACCGCCGGCGACAAGCCGGAGGAAGGUGGGGAUGACGUCAAGUCCUCAUGGCCCUUACGGCCUGGGCUACACACGUGCUACAAUGGCGGUGACAGUGGGCAGCUAACCCGCGAGGGCAAGCUAAUCCCAAAAAACCGUCCCAGUUCAGAUUGCACUCUGCAACUCGGGUGCAUGAAGGUGGAAUCGCUAGUAAUCGCAGAACAGCAGGCUGCGGUGAAUACGUUCCCGGGCCUU